This 253-nucleotide ribosomal RNA is filed under the name uncultured bacterium. Its description in RNAcentral is "partial 16S ribosomal RNA". It matches the Rfam family "Bacterial small subunit ribosomal RNA", at positions 524 to 776 of the family's 1533-position model. The record is from RNAcentral.
UACGUAGGGUGCGAGCGUUAAUCGGAAUUACUGGGCGUAAAGCGUGCGCAGGCGGUUCGUUGUGUCGGCGGUGAAAGCCCCGGGCUCAACCUGGGAAUUGCAUUCGAGACUGCAUCGCUUGGGUGCGGAAGAGGGAAGCGGAAUUUCCGGUGUAGCGGUGAAAUGCGUAGAUAUCGGAAGGAACACCAGUGGCGAAGGCGAGUCUCUGGACAUUUCCUGACGCUGAGGCACGAAAGCCAGGGGAGCAAACGGG